Molecule: small nuclear RNA, 144 nt
Filed under: Marchantia polymorpha subsp. ruderalis
Lineage: Eukaryota; Viridiplantae; Streptophyta; Marchantiopsida; Marchantiales; Marchantiaceae
Description: U4 spliceosomal RNA
Rfam family: U4 spliceosomal RNA
About the family: U4 small nuclear RNA (U4 snRNA) is a component of the major U2-dependent spliceosome. The structure of U4 snRNA from yeast and human has been reported. U4 snRNA presents a k-turn RNA motif in the 5p-SL related to recognition of Snu13 protein.
Source: Rfam by way of RNAcentral
AUCUUUGCGCUUGGGGCAACGACCCAGUUAGUGAGGUGAAAUCGAGACGCGUCAAUUGCUGGUUGAAACUAUUUAUAUUUCACUUCUUCUCUUGCCAUGAAUCGUCAAAGUUGGAGUACUACUGGCCUUCUUGAAAGUUGAAGA